AUUGAACGCUGGCGGCAGGCCUAACACAUGCAAGUCGAACGAGUGGCGGACGGGUGAGUAAUGUCUGGGAAACUGCCCGAUGGAGGGGGAUAACUACUGGAAACGGUCGCUAAUACCGCGUACCAUCGGAUGUGCCCAGAUGGGAUUAGCGUGGAGGUGAGGUAACGGCUCACCUAGGCGACGAUCCCUAGCUGGUCUGAGAGGGUGACCAGCGACACUGGAACUGUGACACGGGCCAGACUCCUGCGGUAGGCAGCAUGGGGGAUAAGUGCACAAUGGGCGCAAGCCUGAUGCAGCCAGUCCGCGUGUAUGAAUAAGGCCUUCUGGUUGUAAAGUCAUUUAAGCGGGGAGGCGUUACCCGCAGAAGAAGCACCGGCUAACUCCGUGUCAGCAGCCGCGGUAAUUC
This 406-nucleotide ribosomal RNA is filed under the name uncultured bacterium. RNAcentral describes it as "partial 16S ribosomal RNA". It matches the Rfam family "Bacterial small subunit ribosomal RNA", at positions 30 to 526 of the family's 1533-position model. The record is from RNAcentral.